AUUGAACGCUGGCGGCAGGCCUAACACAUGCAAGUCGAACGAGUGGCGGACGGGUGAGUAAUGCCUGGGAAACUGCCCGAUGGAGGGGGAUAACUACUGGAAACGGUAGCUAAUACCGCAUACCAUCGGAUGUGCCCAGAUGGGAUUAGCUAGUAGGUGGGGUAAAGGCUCACCUAGGCGACGAUCCCUAGCUGGUCUGAGAGGAUGACCAGCCACACUGGAAAGUAGACACGGUCCGGACUCCUACGGGAGGCAGCAGUGGGGAAUAUUGCACAAGGGGAGCAAGCCUGAUGCAGCCAUGCCGCGUGUAUGAAGAAGGCCUUCGGGUUGUAAAGUACUUUCAGCGAGGAGGCGUUACGCGCAGAAGAAGCACCGGCUAACUCCGUGCCAGCAGCCGCGGUAAUUC
This 406-nucleotide ribosomal RNA is filed under the name uncultured bacterium. RNAcentral's name for it is "partial 16S ribosomal RNA". It matches the Rfam family "Bacterial small subunit ribosomal RNA", at positions 30 to 526 of the family's 1533-position model. The record is from RNAcentral.